GUGACACCCUUAUGGGGCAGGACUUGCUUCAGUGGGACUUUGGUGCUCACUGAGUCUCCCCCUUGAGUGUGUCUCU
This is a non-coding RNA of Myotis lucifugus (little brown bat), 76 nucleotides long. The record is from Rfam. NCBI's taxonomy places the organism in Eukaryota, Metazoa, Chordata, Mammalia, Chiroptera, Vespertilionidae.